Molecule: non-coding RNA, 161 nt
Organism: Podarcis lilfordi (Lilford's wall lizard)
Lineage: Eukaryota; Metazoa; Chordata; Lepidosauria; Squamata; Lacertidae
Source: the annotation of a GenBank genome assembly
GAAGAAGCGGUGGCAGCCUGCAAGUCCUCCUGGUGGUAGUGGGAGAUGGUGGCAGAAGCUGGGGCAGCCUGCCUCACUGAGGCCUUGCAGGCUACCUCUGCUUCUGCCACCAUCUGCUGCUGCCACCACGACAAGGCCUUGCAGGCUGCUGCCAUAUCUGC